Molecule: long non-coding RNA, 1387 nt
Organism: Wyeomyia smithii (pitcher-plant mosquito)
Lineage: Eukaryota; Metazoa; Arthropoda; Insecta; Diptera; Culicidae
Exons: 2
Source: RefSeq, a predicted model, not a curated record
UCCUACGUCGAAAAAAAAUACUUCAAAAAUAUUAACAUGAAGCGAGUUCUUCGAAACUCCGUAAAAACAGAUUACUUUCAUCCCAUUCUAUGAUACACUCAGAGAUAGAACUCGACAAAACUGUAUAAAAAACAGCAGGCAAACGCUGUAAUGGAUAGUCGACAUUUUCGCCAUUCCAACAAAGGACACGUCAUAUCAAUUAUUGCUCACGUCAUUAGUUUGUCGGUUCAUAAAAAAAUUACUUGUAAUUCAGACCAUCAUCGUGUGUACUACUAUUAUUGAUGGUGGUUGGGAAAUGUCCUACAAUGAAAGGUCAUGAAUAGACGACGCUGUUUGCCUGCUUGUAACAAUGGUUAUCGCGUCAGUUGCGUGAGGAAAGUAAACAUCAGAAACCUACCUCCUACCGGAUUCAGCCCGCCUAUCGACGGACGGUGCGCAUAAUCUAUGCUGUUUGGUAGUCAAGCAACAGUGGAAAACUGUGAAAAGCCAUUGAAGAAAAUUACGCUCUCUGAAAAACCCCUGAGAAAGGGUGAAAGUUUGGCGAGAGCCGUCUGCUUAUUUAUGGAAAAGCGCUGUUGCGUCACCACUUGAUAGGAUAUAUGAAACUAAAAUUUGCGUAGUGAUUUUCACGACCAGUCAAUAUCAGUGGCAAUUUUUAACGGUAUACUUUAUUUCCUGAGCAGUGCUCGCCUGCUGACGCCACUUGCCGGUAUGCUACUCACAGCGCAACCAUGACAAAACCAAUAGCGAGAGUUGAGCAACACUCUCGAAUCUACUCGCAGCGCGAGAGCAAAUCUCCCAUUGUUAUUAGUGCCACCGCGGCUGUCUGCUACUACUGGCGUGUGUCAGACGGUUUAGUGCUUAUAGUGUAUCCCGUUGACCCUCUCCCCUCCCCGGACGUUCAACCGAAAUAAAGCGAGCAGCCAGCUCUGCUCAACGGUGGUCUCUCCGGCUGCAACAGUCAACGCGACACUUUCGUUGGUUUCGGUCGAAUUUUUACCGAGCACUUUUGGGACCAAUCCCUUCGACGCAAGCCGACAGUUUUCGGUUUUUGUUUUUAAUAAGGGAAAAGCUAUAAGAGAGAAUUUUCCGGUGGUGUGUGCAACUUGCUUCUUUCAGAUCAGCUUCCUGCCCGGGCACCGAUUCCGUCAGUUUCAAAUCCCAGUGUAAAGUUUUUUAUUUCUUCUGCACAACUGAAACUGUCGCUGACGAUGUGACAUUUAAUUUAAAACUGUAACUGUUGCGCAGUAUCUAUGUAGAGCAAUUAGUUUUCCUGCUCGAGACCAGAACUGAAUUGGGUAGUAAAACUUGCCCGCAAAAUACAAUUGGUUGUAUAACGACCUAAUUCAAGCGGACCCCGGCAGCAAACGCGGAAGAGUGAAAGGUA